AUGCCGCCCACGCUCCCCGCCGGUAAACCUCCGGCGGGAGCAACCCAGCCGCCGGAGCCCGCGACGCCGCCAGCCAAGAGCAGGGUGGCCGACGCCCAGUUGCCGGAGCGCAAAAGGAAGGUUGCGCCAUCAGCCGGUCCGCCGGAGAAGAACAAGAAGAAAGAGAAGACCAGAUCGCCGCCGGCCGAGCCCGACAAGAAGCCUCUUCCUCUCCCGUUCGAGCACGCCUGGACACCCGGCGACGAGGCCCCGGUGCGGGCAACCCAACCGCCGGACCCCGCGAAGAGCAUGCAUACGCCGUCAGCCAAGAGCAGGGAGGCCGAUGCCCAGCUGCCGGAGCGCAAGAGGAAGACCGCGCCAUCAGCAGAUCUGCCCCAGAAGAAAGGCAAGACGACAUCGACGCCGGCGGCCGAGCCCGACAAGAAGCCUCUUCCUCUCCCGUCCGAGCACGCGUGGACGCCCGGCGACGAGGUCAAAAUACUCGAGGCCCUGGCGGCGCAUCGCCAGGAGCACGGCAAGCUGCCGAGAACCAAGGUGCUCUUCUCCUCCCUCCAACUCCAAGGCCGCCUCGACAACAACGGCUUCAGCAUGCCGGACCUCCGGCAGAAGGUGCGCAGUCUCAAGGGCCGGCACGACCACGAGGCCAUCAACGCCGUCCCUGCCAAAGAAAGUGAAUGCAGCCUCUGCCACCUCUCCAAGACCGUCUGGGGCACCAUUGCUAGGAGCGGUGGUGAAGCAAGCGCAAAAGUACCAAAUGCGGGCAACAUGUUCGAUGAAAUGUGCCAGUUGUAUCCUUGCCUCACUGAUGAGGUGACGCACAUUGUCGAUGAACCCGCAGUCUUGGAGAGACUGCUCUUGGACUUUGAUGGUACCAAGGCACGUGCAUUGGACUCCAAAAUCGUCAACCUCAGGAAAGAGCUCACCGAGGCUAUCAUGGAAUCGGCAAAGAGGCAAAACCUUGAAGUGCCUAAAGUAUGGCAGUGCCCAUGCACUAAGCUUCAGCCAUCAAAGUCGAGAACACAAAAUGAAAGCAUACUUUUGUCAGAGCGCUUGGAUAAAAUUGAGGGUGCGGGUGUUGAGACGCAGGAGCAAUUGAAAAGAAUGGAACGUGAAAUGGCAGAACUAAAAAAAAGUUCAAAGGUGAUAAGAUGUGAUUCUGCUGCGAGUGCGCCUCACUCAGUUGUAGCAGAAAAACAGUUUUCAGGCAAUGUACUGCAAAGGAAGAUAGAGCCGCAAGGGAAAUUGCCUCAUUGCAAGAAUAGGGAGGUUACCUCUAAGUAUCGGCCUCCCCGCAAUUUAUUGCCAAAGACGAGAUUGGCGCUGAAAAGUAUGCCUCGUGUUAGGAGAGAGAAGAUUGAUGCUGAAAGUCAGAUUCUGCAUGAUGUGGAACAGAGGAAGGUAGCUGCAUGUGCACAACAAGGCUUUUCGCAUGAUUUGAAUGUGGAGGGUGGGAAAGAGGUCUUUUUACUUUCAUAUGUACGGCCACAUCGUCGAGUAGCCAAGGCUACUCUUCAAACAUCUUGUACAUCUACAAUAGUUGGGGACAAGGAACUUGGACCUGGAUGUUGCCUAGUGUUGGUCAAUCAAGUGUUGGAUGGAAAGGCUCCUCUGAUACGCCCUCUCAGGGACAUAAACACAAUGGAUGAGGCACUUGGACAUUCUAUUGCAUGGACACGUCAACAAAUCCAAGAUGAUACUACUGCUGCCAUGGUAGCACCUAACCAAGCAUCUCCAGGGCAAAAGGGAUGA
RNAcentral lists this ribosomal RNA (1749 nucleotides) under Triticum aestivum (bread wheat). RNAcentral describes it as "partial small subunit ribosomal RNA". Lineage: Eukaryota; Viridiplantae; Streptophyta; Magnoliopsida; Poales; Poaceae. The record is from RNAcentral.